Molecule: ribosomal RNA, 681 nt
Filed under: uncultured Clostridium sp.
Lineage: Bacteria; Bacillati; Bacillota; Clostridia; Eubacteriales; Clostridiaceae
Description: bacterial SSU rRNA
Rfam family: Bacterial small subunit ribosomal RNA
Source: RNAcentral
UUCGGGAAACGGAUUAGCGGCGGACGGGUGAGUAACACGUGGGUAACCUGCCUCAUAGAGUGGAAUAGCCUUCCGAAAGGAAGAUUAAUACCGCAUAACGUUGAAAGAUGGCAUCAUCAUUCAACCAAAGGAGCAAUCCGCUAUGAGAUGGACCCGCGGCGCAUUAGCUAGUUGGUGGGGUAACGGCCUACCAAGGCGACGAUGCGUAGCCGACCUGGGGGGGUGAUCGGCCACAUUGGGACUGAGACACGGCCCAGACUCCUACGGGAGGCAGCAGUGGGGAAUAUUGCACAAUGGGGGAAACCCUGAUGCAGCAACGCCGCGUGAGUGAUGAAGGUUUUCGGAUCGUAAAGCUCUGUCUUUGGGGAAGAUAAUGACGGUACCCAAGGAGGAAGCCACGGCUAACUACGUGCCAGCAGCCGCGGUAAUACGUAGGUGGCGAGCGUUAUCCGGAUUUACUGGGCGUAAAGGGAGCGUAGGCGGAUGAUUAAGUGGGAUGUGAAAUACCCGGGCUCAACUUGGGUGCUGCAUUCCAAACUGGUUAUCUAGAGUGCAGGAGAGGAGAGUGGAAUUCCUAGUGUAGCGGUGAAAUGCGUAGAGAUUAGGAAGAACACCAGUGGCGAAGGCGACUCUCUGGACUGUAACUGACGCUGAGGCUCGAAAGCGUGGGGAGCAAACAGG